RNAcentral lists this ribosomal RNA (484 nucleotides) under uncultured bacterium. RNAcentral describes it as "partial 16S ribosomal RNA". It matches the Rfam family "Bacterial small subunit ribosomal RNA", at positions 29 to 507 of the family's 1533-position model. The record is from RNAcentral.
AUUGAACGCUGGCGGCAUGCUUUACACAUGCAAGUCGAACGGCCGCGCGGGCUUCGGCCUGGCGGCGAGUGGCGAACGGGUGAGUAAUACAUCGGAACGUGCCCAGUCGUGGGGGAUAGCUCGGCGAAAGCCGGAUUAAUACCGCAUACGACCUGAGGGUGAAAGCGGGGGAUCUUCGGACCUCGCGCUAUUGGAGCGGCCGAUGGCAGAUUAGCUAGUUGGUGGGGUAAAGGCCUACCAAGGCGACGAUCUGUAGCUGGUCUGAGAGGACGACCAGCCACACUGGAACUGAGACACGGCCCAGACUCCUACGGGAGGCAGCAGUGGGGAAUUUUGGACAAUGGGCGAAAGCCUGAUCCAGCAAUGCCGCGUGUGUGAUGAAGGCCUUCGGGUUGUAAAGCACUUUUGGUGGGAACGAAAAGGACUGUGCCAAUACCACGGUUCGAUGACGGUACCCGCAGAAUAAGCACCGGCUAACUACGUG